GAUGAAGAACGUAGCGAAAUGCGAUACUUGGUGUGAAUUGCAGAAUCCCGUGAACCAUCGAGUCUUUGAACGCAAGUUGCGCCCGAAGCCAUUAGGCCGAGGGCACGCCUGCCUGGGCGUCACACGUCGUUGCCCCCCCAUCUACUCCUUCGGGAUUGCGGGGGGCGGAUGAUGGCCUCUCGUGCGCCUCGUCGCGCGGUUGGCCUAAAUGCCAAGUCCUCGGCGACGCACGCCACGACAAUCGGUGGUUGCGAAACCUCGGUUGCCUGUCGUGUGUGGUCGUCGCGCAUCGAGGGCUCGAAAAAAUUGCCGGGCUUCGGCUCGACUUUCAACGCGACCCCAGGUCAGGCGGGGUUACCCGCUGAAUUUAAGCAUAUCAAUAAGCGGAGGA
This 391-nucleotide unclassified non-coding RNA is filed under the name soil metagenome. RNAcentral describes it as "partial contains 5.8S ribosomal RNA, internal transcribed spacer 2, and large subunit ribosomal RNA". The stretch from base 1 to 122 matches the Rfam family "5.8S ribosomal RNA", at positions 35 to 154 of the family's 154-position model. The record is from RNAcentral.